RNAcentral lists this ribosomal RNA (2226 nucleotides) under Triticum aestivum (bread wheat). RNAcentral describes it as "partial small subunit ribosomal RNA". Lineage: Eukaryota; Viridiplantae; Streptophyta; Magnoliopsida; Poales; Poaceae. The record is from RNAcentral.
AUGGGCUACCACCACCUCCUCGUCGUCUCGCCUCCGGCGCAGCCGCCGCCGCCGCGGCGCGUCUCCCUACCCUCCCGCUCGCCGCGGGGGGCCGUCACAGCCGCUGCCUCGCCCGACGCCGUCCGCUCCUUGUCGGUGGUGGCAUCGUCGGCAGCCACGCGAAGGAGGGCCGUGCUCCUGGUCGGGAUCUCCGUGUUCCCGCUCCUGCGCCUCCGUGACGCGGCGACCUCCGCCGUGCAGCCCUCAGCGGUCGAUCUCGUCACUGAUAAAAUGGACAUUCAGAUGUCUGAGGAAAUGCAGCCUGAAGAAACUAGGGCUGGACCACCUCAGUCUGAGGUGAAAAGGCCAUCUCCAGGGAAUCCAUUUGCAAGUCUCCUGAAUGCAAUUGCAGUUAUUGCUUCUGGGCUUCUGGCUGGGCUUCUUGGUACUACUCAACGUGAAAAGAAGGCCUUGCAGUCAGCCAUCUCAUCUAUGGAGAUCAAAUUGGCUGAAGAUGAGGCAGCGAUGUCUUUGCUUAGAGAGAACUAUGAGAAGAGGCUAUUGGACGAACAAGUGGCACAGAAGAAACAAGCUAGGAUGUUCCAGGACGAGGAAGCUUCUCUUCUUGAUCAAUUGGCUUCAACGAAGAGAACUGUAAAAAAUUUAAAUGAGGAAGUUAUGAAGGAGAAGGAGCUAGUUGAACAGCUUAAACAUGAAACACAUGAUCUUGAGAUUAGCAUUGCACAAGCAGAGGAAGACAAACAUGCGUUUGAAGAAAAUUUGAGGGACAAGUUGGAAACACUUGAUAUUUUACAUGGCAAGGUAAAUCUGCUUAGCCAAGAUGUAAAUGACAAGGAGGAAAACAUUACAGAACUCAGUUCAUCACUUUCAACCAAGGAAGGAGACUACCAGAGCCUGCACUUAAUAUUUAAUCAGACUAAAGAGAGCCUGGAACAUGCAAAUUCUAGAAUGGAGCAACUGGAGAAGUAUGUUUAUGCAGCUAAAAAUGAUAUAAAAUCAAAGAUAUCCUCAAUUGAUUCAUUGAAUGAGGAUGUCCAAACAGUGUACAGUGCAAAGAGUGAUGCCGAGGAAAAAAUAAGCAAGUUAAUGAAACAGUACACAGAAUUGGAAGCUGCUUCUAAGACGAGGGCCUCUCACGAUUCUGAACUAUUGUCCAAUAAAGAUGGUCAGCUCAAUCAACUCGAAGAACGACUUUCUACUGCAUUAAGUGAUUCUAGUGAAGACAGAAUUAUAAUUGUUGAGUUAAACAGUGAAUUGGAAGCUAACAGAACAAUGCUACUCAAUGAAGUUGAGGUCCGAAAAAAAUUGUCAGAUCUUGUCCAGUCCACUGAAGAUGCACUUAAAGAAUCCAGAAAUGAGUUGUUCAAACUGUCCGAAGAGCUUAAUGAAGUAAAUAUAUCAAACCAUGACUUGACAACCCAGAUUUCAGAAUUCACAAAUGAGUCUAAUGAAGUGAAACAGGCUCUGACUAAGAAAGUAGAAGAAGCGGAAUCAGUUUCUAAAGCUCUUUUAGAUGAAUUGGCCUCAGUGAAGGAGAUACAUCAAAAGACACAAACAAAUCUUGAAGUCACCUCUAAUCAAUUGGUGUCUAUUACAGAAGUGCAUGGUGAACUUAGUAAAGAAUUGCUGGAUGCAUAUAAAAAGUUAGAGUCCACAACAGAUGAGCUUGUUAGAGAACGAAGGAUUAAUGCUACUUUAAAUAGGGAGCUUGAGGCAUUGGUGAAACAGUCGCAGGUGGAAUCUGAAGCUAGAAGAGCUCUUCAAGCAGACUUGGAUGAGGCCACUGUUUCACUAAAUGAGGUGAAUGAGAGUACAUUAUUUCUGUCUAAUAAGCUUGAUAACACUGUUUCCAGGAUUUCUGCUAUUAAAGAAGAGAAAGAGGCUCUUUCAGCGGCUCUUUCGGAGCAAAAGAAAAGUACAGCCGAAGCUCAGAAAAAUAUGGUGGAUGCUCAGCAUCUUAUUAAAAGGCUUGGGAUGGAGAGAGAGAAUAGUGAAAUCAGGAGUACAAAGCUUGAAGAGGAAUUGGCCACAGCAAAAGGUGAGAUGUUAUAUCUGAGGAGGCAGAUUACUGCAAGUGGGUCACAGAAUGCAGAUGUUUUGGAAGCAAGCCCAACACCAAAUUUCAACCAAUCUCCGGAAGAUCGUGUUCCAAAUACCAGUAGUACUGAUGCUGUACCUCCUCGUUCUGCUAAGAAGAUUUAUAGGAGAAGAAAAGACAGACCAUAA